Felis catus (domestic cat) is the source of this 864-nucleotide long non-coding RNA. RefSeq lists it as uncharacterized. The transcript has 4 exons. The record is from RefSeq and is a predicted model, not a curated record. Lineage: Eukaryota; Metazoa; Chordata; Mammalia; Carnivora; Felidae.
CCUACUUGUCUUGAAGAGAUGAGAAGUUUUCUUUUUCUUCUAGAUAAAGGUGUUGCUGCUUAAUUAACCUGACAACAUGAUGGCGCAUGCAGAAUCUGUACUGAAAAAUCUGUGUGGAGCUCUCAUUUCCUCCCCAAACUCCAUUUGGAUACGGACUUUUAGCCUGGUCCUUGUUGCCAAGCACUGUGAUAAGGUGGCGCCUUGGCACUUAGAGUGAGAGGUGACCGACGACGUCUGGCUUUGAUUGCCUGUUUGGAAUGGAAACAGAAGGUGCAGGAGAGGCGGGGCUGAGCUGUGGCCGAUUGCAAGGAGUAUUCACAUCACAGGGCUUUCCUUUGAAACAAUAAUAAAGGGAAAAGCACUGAGCAAAAAAAAAAAAAUAGAGUCUUUCAACUGGCCACACAGCCCAGAAACACAGAGCUGACUUCUAACUGCACCCUAGAGUCAAGGUCUUCAGUUUAAUCUCAGCUUUGGAAUGGAAGCAGUGAAACUGAAGAGUGUGUCCCCACCUUAUAAAUAACAAUAAUAGCAGCAGCAAUAAUAAUGACAUAGUUCUGGGAACACUUAGAGAUGGUUAACCAUGUACUUGAAUAUGGGAUUUCAUUAUGUUUUAUCUCGUGUUCCCUCAGGCAGACACUGGCGUAUAGGAUGGAGCCCUCCUCUUAGUCAAAUCUGGAAUCUAGUUCCUCAAGCAGUUGGAGUCAUAGAAAUUUAGACUGGAAGAAACCUCAUGUGGCCGGACUACUCUACACUAGUUCUCUGACUCUCGUUUUGACAUUGAAAAGAGGCCACAGAAACCGGUUGAUGCUUACCCCACUACGGUACUAAGAUAUAAUUGACAAGAAAUGCUAAACUCACCAGAGU